This 774-nucleotide ribosomal RNA is filed under the name uncultured Neocallimastigales. RNAcentral's name for it is "partial large subunit ribosomal RNA". It matches the Rfam family "Eukaryotic large subunit ribosomal RNA", at positions 26 to 632 of the family's 3401-position model. The record is from RNAcentral. Lineage: Eukaryota; Fungi; Neocallimastigomycota; Neocallimastigomycetes; Neocallimastigales.
CGUCUAUAUACGUAUAGCAUAUCAAUAAGCGGAGGAAAAGAAACUAACUAGGAUUCCCUCAGUAACGGCGAGUGAAGCGGGAAGAGCUCAAAUUUGAAAUCUUCAAGGUUCUACCUUGACGAAUUGUAGUUUAAAGAAGUGUUUUCUGUUGGAGUUUUGGUAAAAGUUCUUUGGAAUAGGACAUCAUAGAGGGUGAGAAUCCCGUAUUUGACCAUUAUUUCCAACUUUGUGAUACACUUUCAAAGAGUCGGAUUGUUUGGGAAUGCAGUCCAAAAUGGGUGGUAAAUUUCAUCUAAAGCUAAAUACUGGCGAGAGACCGAUAGCGAACAAGUACCGUGAGGGAAAGAUGAAAAGAACUUUGAAAAGAGAGUUAAACAGUACGUGAAAUUGUCAAAAGGGAAGCGUUUGACACCAGUGUUGUUUUCUCGAAAAUCAAUUAAAAAAUGAUUGAUUUUGUGUUGUAUUGACUUCAUCAGCUUUCUGCACUUUUUUCAUUGUCUUUUUUAAUGCACUUUUCGUUUAACAAGUCAACAUCAGUUUCUUUUGUUGUAAAAGGGUCAUUGGAAGGUGGCUUUCUUUUCGGAGAAAGUGUUUAUAGCCUUUGCCUCUGCAAUCGGAGAGAUUGAGGUCUGCAGCGUAGAUCCUUCUGGAUUAGAUACAUUUGUGCUAAGUUAUAGCCUUUCAUAGACAACUUGUUGACUAUGAUCAGUCAUGUAGCUUACUCGCUUAUGCUAUUUUACCUACGCUUAGGAUGUUGAUCUGUAGUGCGUGCGC